CAUGGUCUAGCGGUCAGGACAUCGCCCUUUCAAGGCGGUAACACGGGUUCAAAUCCCGUUGG
This 62-nucleotide transfer RNA is filed under the name human gut metagenome. It matches the Rfam family "tRNA", at positions 6 to 65 of the family's 71-position model. Rfam says of the family: Transfer RNA (tRNA) molecules are approximately 80 nucleotides in length. Their secondary structure includes four short double-helical elements and three loops (D, anti-codon, and T loops). The record is from RNAcentral.